Molecule: ribosomal RNA, 1245 nt
Filed under: metagenome
Description: bacterial LSU rRNA
Rfam family: Bacterial large subunit ribosomal RNA
Source: RNAcentral
UGAAUACGAGACGCUAAGGCGUCGAAGUAGUGUAUGUCAUACUUCCAAGAAAAGCUUGCACUGUCAUAGAUAAAAACCGCCUGUACCAUAACCGACACAGGUGGGUAGGUAGAGUAUACUAAGGGGCGCGAGAUAACUCUCUCUAAGGAACUCGGCAAAAUAACUCCGUAACUUCGGGAGAAGGAGUGCCUUAUUCGUAAGGUUGCGAUAACAAGAUCCAAGCAACUGUUUAUCAAAAACACAGGUCUCCGCUAAGUCGUAAGACGAUGUAUGGGGGCUGACGCCUGCCCAGUGCCAGAAGGUUAAAGAAGUUGGUUAGCAAUUGCGAAGCUGAUAACUGAAGCCCUGGUGAACGGCGGCCGUAACGAUAACGGUCCUAAGGUAGCGAAAUUCCUUGUCGGGUAAGUUCCGACCCGCACGAAAGGCGUAAUGAUUUGGAUACUGUCUCGGAGAGGGGCUCGGUGAAAUAGACUUGUCUGUGAAAAUGCGGACUACCUGCACCAGGACAGAAAGACCCUAUGAAGCUUUACUGUAACUUGAAAUUGAAAUUGGACUUUAUUCGCGCAGUAUAGGUGGGAGGCGUUGAUUAUAAUCUUGUGGGAUUAUUGGAGCCAUCAGUGAGAUACCACUCUUGUAAUGUUAGAUUUCUAACUUUGAAUCAUUAUCUGGUCGAAGAACAGUUUCAGGCGGGCAGUUUGACUGGGGCGGUCGCCUCCUAAACGGUAACGGAGGCGUACAAAGGUUUCCUCUGAACGGUUAGAAAUCGUAUCUAGAGUGUAAAGGCAUAAGGAAGCUUGACUGUGAGACCUACAAGUCGAGCAGGGACGAAAGUCGGUCUUAGUGAUCUGACGGUACUGAGUGGAAAGGCCGUCACUCAACGGAUAAAAGUUACUCUAAGGAUAACAGGCUGAUCUCCCCCAAGAGUUCACAUCGACGGGGAGGUUUGGCACCUUGAUGUCGGCUCAUCGCAUCCUGGGGCGGUAGUACGUCCCAAGGGUUGGGCUGUUCGCCCAUGAAAGCGGUACGCGAGCUGGGUUCAGAACGUCGUGAGACAGUUCGGUCCAUAUCCGGUGUAGGCGUUAGAAUAUUGAGAGGAGCCUUCUUUAGUACGAGAGGACCGAGAAGGACAUACCUCUGGUGUACCAGUUAUCGUGCCAACGGUAAACGCUGGGUAGCUAUGUAUGGAGUGGAUAACCGCUGAAAGCAUCUAAGUGGGAAGCCCACCUCAAGAUAAGUAUUCUCAUU